CCUACGGGUGGCUGCAGUGGGGAAUAUUGGACAAUGGGGGGAACCCUGAUCCAGCCAUGCCGCGUGUGUGAAUAAGGCCCUCGGGUUGUAAAGCACUUUCAGUGAGGAAGAACGCCUGGUGGUUAAUACCCAUCAGGAAAGACAUCACUCACAGAAGAAGCACCGGCUAACUCCGUGCCAGCAGCCGCGGUAAUACGGAGGGUGCGAGCGUUAAUCGGAAUUACUGGGCGUAAAGCGCGCGUAGGUGGCUUGAUAAGCCGGUUGUGAAAGCCCCGGGCUCAACCUGGGAACGGCAUCCGGAACUGUCAAGCUAGAGUGCCGGCGAGGAAGGUAGAAUUCCCGGUGUAGCGGUGAAAUGCGUAGAGAUCGGGCGGGAUACCCGUGGCGACGGCGGCCUUCUGGACUGACACUGACCCUGAGGUGCGAAAGCGUGGGUAGCAAACAGGAUUAGCUACCCUAGUAGUC
Molecule: ribosomal RNA, 465 nt
Filed under: Vreelandella stevensii
Lineage: Bacteria; Pseudomonadati; Pseudomonadota; Gammaproteobacteria; Oceanospirillales; Halomonadaceae
Description: partial 16S ribosomal RNA
Rfam family: Bacterial small subunit ribosomal RNA
Source: RNAcentral